This 365-nucleotide long non-coding RNA is filed under the name Gossypium raimondii (Peruvian cotton). RNAcentral's name for it is "long non-coding RNA (GRAI_LNC011081)". Lineage: Eukaryota; Viridiplantae; Streptophyta; Magnoliopsida; Malvales; Malvaceae. The record is from RNAcentral.
GAUAAUAACAUCACCAGAAUCAAAACUCGCACGCAAUGACUCGGACUCGUAGAGUUACCGAGUCCAAGAACUUCAACUCAAAAAAAACUCAACCUCCAAAACGCCAAAAAAAAUUGAAACAGAGAAGAAAAGAAGUUGAUUGUUUAAUUGUUUGUGGAACUGAAAAAAAACCGUUGCCUUUAGCUUUGGGAGUGAAGAUGAAAGACCUGGCGAGAUUUGUAGAGGAGACGGGUAGAAAACGCCAUGAGAGAGCUCAAUCAAACUUUUAUUUGGGAGUAGGGUUUCUAGUAUUUGUUUUGGGAAUCUGCUUGCUCAAUCAAAAACCUAAAGGGUGUUUUGAGCAUCCCGAUUUUAGGGGGAAAAAU